GAUGAACGCUGGCGGCGUGCUUAACACAUGCAAGUCGAACGGAAAGGCCCAAGCUUGCUUGGGUACUCGAGUGGCGAACGGGUGAGUAACACGUGGGUGAUCUGCCCUGCACUUCGGGAUAAGCCUGGGAAACUGGGUCUAAUACCGGAUAGGACCACUUCUUGGAUGUUGUGGUGAAAGUUUUUUCGGUGUGGGAUGAGCUCGCGGCCUAUCAGCUUGUUGGUGGGGUAAUGGCCUACCAAGGCGUCGACGGGUAGCCGGCCUGAGAGGGUGUACGGCCACAUUGGGACUGAGAUACGGCCCAGACUCCUACGGGAGGCAGCAGUGGGGAAUAUUGCACAAGGGGCGCAAGCCUGAUGCAGCGACGCCGCGUGGGGGAUGACGGCCUUCGGGUUGUAAACUCCUUUCGCUAGGGACGAAGCGUUUUGUGACGGUACCUGGAGAAGAAGCACCGGCUAACUACGUG
RNAcentral lists this ribosomal RNA (466 nucleotides) under uncultured bacterium. RNAcentral describes it as "partial 16S ribosomal RNA". It matches the Rfam family "Bacterial small subunit ribosomal RNA", at positions 28 to 507 of the family's 1533-position model. The record is from RNAcentral.